Osmia bicornis bicornis is the source of this 290-nucleotide long non-coding RNA. RefSeq lists it as uncharacterized. The record is from RefSeq and is a predicted model, not a curated record. Lineage: Eukaryota; Metazoa; Arthropoda; Insecta; Hymenoptera; Megachilidae. The transcript has 3 exons.
GUUAUUGCAACAUUGUCGGACGCGGCGCGUAAAAUUUUGCGAAUUUCUCAUAAAAAUUUGGUUAAUAACGUAUAAUUAUCACGGUUUUAUGUUUAUUUGUCUUUCGAAAACGCGUAUGAGUGUGGAAUAUCGUAAUUUUUAGUGAAAAGUGCAACAAUUUCAAUAUAUUACACCAUCAACGCAGUAGCUCUAGUGACAAAUAUCCAGCCGUACAUUUGAAGCGACCGAAGUAUCAACGAAUCGGAUUCGAGGGAGAGGAAUUUGGAUUCAGCGCGGGCUCGCACUGGUAA